AGAGAGAGAGAGAGAGGUAAUGUUUGACAAUCCUAUUCGAGUAUUCAAGUAUCUUUGAAGGUUUUAGUUAUUGGAGAUAACUAAGAUGGCUUUCAUGCAAUAUUUUGUUUUGUUACUUAUCAUUUCAGUUGUUUCAGUCACAAGUGAAAUGGUUGCACAAAAAAUAUGUAUAAAUGUGGCGCAACCGAGCAACUGCGGCUUUGACGUAUGUAAACUGCUUUGCAAAGAGUUAUUCAAAGACACAUUGGUCUCCGCCGAAUGCAUUAUUAAGAAUAUUCAUGGUCCAAGGGGAACUAACCAAUGUACUUGUUUCUAUCGUUGUUAACCUAUAAUUAUAUUAGUCUUGUACACAAAAUUGUCAGUUAAAUUAUAUAAAUAAGAUGCACUUGGUUUUUUAAAA
Molecule: long non-coding RNA, 400 nt
Organism: Glycine soja
Lineage: Eukaryota; Viridiplantae; Streptophyta; Magnoliopsida; Fabales; Fabaceae
Exons: 2
Source: RefSeq, a predicted model, not a curated record